This 2007-nucleotide long non-coding RNA is filed under the name Capsicum annuum. Its description in RNAcentral is "long non-coding RNA (CANN_LNC006933)". The record is from RNAcentral. Lineage: Eukaryota; Viridiplantae; Streptophyta; Magnoliopsida; Solanales; Solanaceae.
AACUCUCGUCCUUCUACUCCUCGACAUGUUUCAUCAAGUGGACAUGAUAGAAAUUCCUCCGCCACCGUUACUCCCGAAACAUGGCCACAAUUGCCAAAUCCUUCACUAGCUCCACUAAAUAUCGCAAGCCAAACCUCUUAUAACCCUCUAAACCGAGACUCCAAUAGACCAACUCAUUCCCAAACGACUCAAGUUUCGCAAGAGGUACUCGGACGUCAAAUGCCUCCACAAAAUCCGAACCCCCCCUUCCAAGCUCCACUAAACCAAAGACCACCACCUCCACAAAAUCCAAUUCCUCCGAAUUAAGUUCCAAAUGUCCAAAACCGUCCCGUCCACCUUAAGGAAUAUGAUAGAGAGGAUUAUGAAGGGUAUGAAGCCUUUGAUGAUGCCUACAUGAGGGAGGAAGAGAUGAGAGGGGGUCGUGUGGAUCCAAGGAGAUACCGAGGGUAUGGAGAAAGGGGAAACCGACACCUAGAGAGACGUAGGAAUCAAUACCAUCUAAUUGAGCCUACCUAUCUUUAAGGGUGAAAGUGACCCCGAGGUGUAUCUUGCUUGGGAGUCGGUGUGUGAUAAAGUGUUUCAAAUGAAUGGUAUCUCGGAGAAGAAGAAAAGUUGUUAUGCCAUAGCUCAUUUUGAAGGCUAUGCUAACACUUGGUGGGAAUACGUCAAGCGGUUUGGCAACGAGUUGGUAGAGGGACAGCCACCGCCAUGGUUUCGGUUAAGGUACCUAAUGAGGCAACGGUAUCUUCCCAAGAGUUAUCGUCAUGAGUUUCUUGCUAGGUUGUACAAUUUGCGACAAGGGAAUCGAAGUGUUAUGACAUACUAUGACGAGUUUCAACAACUCAUGUUGAAGCUUGAUCAUCGGGGAGAACAAAUUGGCCAUGACAUUAUUCGGUUCAAGUGUGGGUUGAACAAAGAGAUCUCCACCCAUUUGAUGCUUCACAAGUUUGAUACCGUUGAAGGGAUUUUCCAAGCGGCUUUUGAGAUUGAAAGGGAGCUUAAAGAGAGGUCGUCAUUCAAGGCAAAGGGACCAUCAACCUCGGGUUGGCCGAGGAGCAAAGAUAUGGUUCAACCAUUUUUGGGUUGGCCCAAAAACAAGGACUAACCCGCCACUACAAGACUGCCCGAGACUAAAACAGUCCACAAAUUUCCUCCCCGGCUAGAAGCUCACAAGUGUCCUAAUCCUAAAGGGUUCCAAUGUUUCAAGUGCCAAGGUUGGGGACAUUAAGCCAAUGAAUGUCCAAACCGGCGUAAUGUGAUCCUAAGGGAAGGGAGAUUGUAUUACCUUGGUGAGAAAGUGGGUUUUGAAAAAGAAGAGAAUGAGGCCGAGCCUCAAGAUGGAGACGAACCCGAAAAUGAUCCACAUGAUGAUGAUGAUGAUUGUGAGGAUGCUUAUCCGCAAUGAGGGGAGUGCGUGGUUCUAAACUUUGUAUUGAGGCGUGCCAUGAUUAGUAAGGCAAUAGAUGAUCCUAGCCAAUGAGAGAAUCUGUUCCAUACUAAAUGUCUUGUGAAGGGAAGUGCGUGCACUAUGGUGAUAGAUAGUGGAAGUUGUGCGAAUAUGGUUAGUGUUGCAAUGGUGAACUUCUUGAAAUUGCCGACUACACCUCACACUAGUCCUUACAAGUUGCAAUGGUUGAAUGAAUGGGGCGAGUUAAAGGUCACAAGGCAAUGUGUGAUAUGUUUUAAGGUAGCCAACUACCAUGACGAGGUACUUUGUGACGUGAUACCAGUGCAAGCUUGUCACUUUUUGUUAGGAAGGCCUUGGCAAUACGAUAGGUCGACCAAACAUGAUGGAAGGUCCAAUCGGUAUACACUUGAGAAGGAUGGCCGCAAGAUCGCUCUUCAUCCAUUAUUGCCUUCCCAAGUGAAUGAAUUACACCAAAAGAUGCGAGAAUUGAGGGAAAAGGGAAAGAAGGCUGAGAGUGAGGGGAAAAGAGGGGAACCCGAGAGUGAGGGAGUAGGGGAAACCGAGGGGCUCCUAAUUUCUAAGGGGCAAGGAAGUGUGGU